GCAAUAUGCUUCCUAUCAGAAUUCCAAGAGGUUUUUGCUUUUUGUUUUUUGUUUUUUUAAUUUAGAAAGAUUUAUUCUAAUAUUCUUCUGAAAAACUGGGUAAAAGUAGUCAGGAAGAGCUUGAGCAGAAAGAAACCUAUGAGGAAAACCUCCCUUUCCCAGUAUCAAAAUACACUGCAAAACGUCUUUAUAUAAAAUAGAAGAGAAGUUUCCCAGGAAGAGAAAAAUAGUUCUGUGGAACAGCUUCUGCAGUUCAGAAACAGACUUGUGUAUAUGAGUAAUUGUUUAAGAAAAACUGAGGAUUUGAUAAAUUAUAUUUUUGGAAGUCCAUUUAGAGAAAAGUUAGAUGCCUAUAUCAUAGUAUACAGAAAGAUACUCCAGGUAGAAUAAGUGUUAGGUAGAUUUUUUUUUUUUAAGAAUAUGGUAGCAAAAUAAAUCUUUUGUAAGUUUUAUUAAAAUAGGCAGAAGCAUAAAAUAAAAAAUUGAUUAUUUAUAUAUAAAUUUAAACUUUGUAUGUACUGCAGGUCAUAAAAUCAAAAGUAAAAGAAACAAAUAUUUGUAGCAUAUAUGACAAAUGUUAAUGCCAGUGGUCCACAAAGAAACCUUAAACCCAGGCAAAGGGAAGAAUAGGCAACUCACAGAGGAGAAAUAUGAAGGUCCAAUAAACAUUCUGAUACAACAGUUAUUCUGACUUCUUGAAAUAUUUUUAAAAAAUCCUUGAUUCCUAAGAUCACCUCUGGAUAUGCUCACACAGAACCUCUGAAGGUGAUGAGUAAAGUGUGGAGACCACGUCACUAGACUGUUGGUGCCAUCGGUGCAGGAACCUGUCCUGUUUCCUCCCCCUCAUAUACCCAGUAUCUGGUCCAGUGCUUGGCACAUAGUAGGUGUUCAGUAAAUAUUUAAUGAAUAAGUAAAUGAAACAUUUAAAAGGAUCCUCAACAGGAGUUGUCACUGCCACAGUACGGUUUGAUCCCUUGCUAGGAACUUCCACAUGUCGCAGGGAGGGCAAAAAAACAAAAAAC
Sus scrofa (pig) is the source of this 1022-nucleotide non-coding RNA. NCBI's taxonomy places the organism in Eukaryota, Metazoa, Chordata, Mammalia, Artiodactyla, Suidae. The record is from RefSeq and is a predicted model, not a curated record.